GGGAACUUCCUGCCAAGCGUGAGAACGCUGCGAACUUCCCGGAGGCCAAAAGUUGAGGGGGCUGAGCGGAGCGUGAUUGGGGAGGGGCGGGCCUGGGAGACCUUGGGCGCCUCCUCUGAAAGCCUCUUGAUGAGGAAAUGAACUCAGAGAAGAUAAAUGAUUUGCCCAAAGUCACAUGAGACAGAAAUAUAACUUGAAAUCAAAUUUGUAAUUUUAAGUUCCUGAUGUUUUUACACUAUGCUCCCUAAGUGAAUCUGUGGACAUACAUUUCCAUUAGUAACCUUACUCA
Molecule: long non-coding RNA, 289 nt
Filed under: Homo sapiens (human)
Lineage: Eukaryota; Metazoa; Chordata; Mammalia; Primates; Hominidae
Description: non-protein coding lnc-VIP-4:2
Source: RNAcentral